This 270-nucleotide long non-coding RNA is filed under the name Phoenix dactylifera (date palm). RNAcentral's name for it is "long non-coding RNA (PDAC_LNC020399)". Lineage: Eukaryota; Viridiplantae; Streptophyta; Magnoliopsida; Arecales; Arecaceae. The record is from RNAcentral.
GUGGCAUGAUAUGCUGCCAACCAGUCCAUCCCAAGGAUCAUGUCGAAAUCCUUCAUCCCUAGGACUAGUAAAUCUACUUUCAUUUCCCUGCCCUCAAUAUUCAAGAUACAAUCUUUGCAAACAGAGUUAACUAAGAUUACAUCUCCAUUAGGGAUGGAGACACACAGUUCAGUCUCUAGUGGCAAAGAAAUCAAUGUACUAUUUCUUCCAACAAAAUCAGCAGAUACAAAAGAAUGAGUAGCUCCAGGAUCAAUCAAAAUAUAGGCAUUC